Molecule: long non-coding RNA, 492 nt
Organism: Solanum verrucosum
Lineage: Eukaryota; Viridiplantae; Streptophyta; Magnoliopsida; Solanales; Solanaceae
Exons: 2
Source: RefSeq, a predicted model, not a curated record
GCAGACCUGGUGAUAAGCUGGUUCAUCAUUAGCGGGAGGUGUGCUUUGGAACUUUUUGUUGAAAUACUGGGAUCACUGCGCGAUGUCUAUUCAACACUGGGAAUCCGAUUAUCUCGGGCUUUUUCUUUGGGUUCAACUAUAAUAACUAAAGGGGAAGAGAAUUCACCAUAUGUAGAACCGCUCUUGGGAAUUCUUUUAAGAAUGGAUCUCUAAACAAUCAGAGACCUAUAUAUACAUGAAGCUGUACUGCGGUUACAAACGCUUGUAAGAAAGAAAAAACACAGUGGCGUGAGGUGAAAAUAUUAGGAUUAUGACCUGCUUGUAGAGCUCUAAUUUUGCAGGGUGAUUAAAUUCCAUUACAAGUUAAUUAAACGAUGUUGAUUACAGCGUUAUGGCUUCCAUAUAAUAUCUAGAUGGAUGGUAAGGCUACGUAAUUUGAGGUUUUUAUUCAGAACCUACAUUUUAAUUUUUACGCGUUUUUUUUUAACCUGU